UGAUUCAGAAGUCUAGGAUCCUGGGGU
RNAcentral lists this non-coding RNA (27 nucleotides) under Bombyx mori (domestic silkworm). The record is from RNAcentral. Lineage: Eukaryota; Metazoa; Arthropoda; Insecta; Lepidoptera; Bombycidae.